AUUAAACGCUGGCGGCAUGCCUUACACAUGCAAGUCGAACGGCAGCACGGGGGCAACCCUGGUGGCGAGUGGCGAACGGGUGAGUAAAGCAUCGGAACGUGCCCUGGAGUGGGGGAUAACGUAGCGAAAGUUACGCUAAUACCGCAUAUUCUGUGAGCAGGAAAGCAGGGGAUCGCAAGACCUCGCGCGGACGGAGCGGCCGAUGGCAGAUUAGGUAGUUGGUGGGAUAAAAGCUUACCAAGCCGACGAUCUGUAGCUGGUCUGAGAGGACGACCAGCCACACUGGGACUGAGACACGGCCCAGACUCCUACGGGAGGCAGCAGUGGGGAAUUUUGGACAAUGGGGGAAACCCUGAUCCAGCCAUGCCGCGUGCAGGAAGACGGCCCUAUGGGUUGUAAACUGCUUUUCCAGGGGAGAAACUUUCCGAUGCAUCGGGAUUUGACGGUACCCUGGGAAUAAGCAUCGGCUAACUCCGUGCCAGCAGCCGCGGUAAACUGUAGUCGUC
Molecule: ribosomal RNA, 506 nt
Filed under: uncultured bacterium
Lineage: Bacteria
Description: bacterial SSU rRNA
Rfam family: Bacterial small subunit ribosomal RNA
Source: RNAcentral